AAAGCGUGCGCAGGCGGUUUUGUAAGUUUGUCGUGAAAGCCCCGGGCUCAACCUGGGAAUUGCGAUGAAGACUGCAAGGCUUGAAUCUGGCAGAGGGGGGUAGAAUUCCACGUGUAGCAGUGAAAUGCGUAGAGAUGUGGAGGAACACCGAUGGCGAAGGCAGCCCCCUGGGUCAAGAUUGACGCUCAUGCACGAAAGCGUGGGGAGCAAACAGGAUUAGAUACCCGAGU
RNAcentral lists this ribosomal RNA (230 nucleotides) under uncultured bacterium. RNAcentral's name for it is "partial 16S ribosomal RNA". It matches the Rfam family "Bacterial small subunit ribosomal RNA", at positions 562 to 791 of the family's 1533-position model. The record is from RNAcentral.